This 468-nucleotide ribosomal RNA is filed under the name uncultured bacterium. Its description in RNAcentral is "partial 16S ribosomal RNA". It matches the Rfam family "Bacterial small subunit ribosomal RNA", at positions 28 to 507 of the family's 1533-position model. The record is from RNAcentral.
GACGAACGCUGGCGGCGUGCUUAGCACAUGCAAGUCGAACGGAAAGGCCCUGCUUUUGUGGGGUGCUCGAGUGGCGAACGGGUGAGUAACACGAGAGUAACCUGCCCUUGACUUUGGGAUAACUUCAGGAAACUGGGGCUAAUACCGGAUAGGAGCUCCUGCUGCAUGGUGGGGGUUGGAAAGUUUCGGCGGUUGGGGAUGGACUCGCGGCUUAUCAGCUUGUUGGUGGGGUAGUGGCUUACCAAGGCUUUGACGGGUAGCCGGCCUGAGAGGGUGACCGGCCACAUUGGGACUGAGAUACGGCCCAGACUCCUACGGGAGGCAGCAGUGGGGAAUAUUGCACAAUGGGCGGAAGCCUGAUGCAGCAACGCCGCGUGCGGGAUGACGGCCUUCGGGUUGUAAACCGCUUUCGCCUGUGACGAAGCGUGAGUGACGGUAAUGGGUAAAGAAGCACCGGCUAACUACGUG